This 76-nucleotide transfer RNA is filed under the name bacterium. Its description in RNAcentral is "tRNA-Pro". It matches the Rfam family "tRNA". Rfam says of the family: Transfer RNA (tRNA) molecules are approximately 80 nucleotides in length. Their secondary structure includes four short double-helical elements and three loops (D, anti-codon, and T loops). The record is from RNAcentral. RNAcentral also lists the same sequence under 2 other names.
CGGGGUGUGGCGCAGUUGGUAGCGCGCAAGGCUGGGGGUCUUGAGGCCGCAGGUUCGAAUCCUGUCACCCCGACCA